RNAcentral lists this ribosomal RNA (539 nucleotides) under Triticum aestivum (bread wheat). Its description in RNAcentral is "partial small subunit ribosomal RNA". The record is from RNAcentral. Lineage: Eukaryota; Viridiplantae; Streptophyta; Magnoliopsida; Poales; Poaceae.
CUUUCUUCUCUGUUUCCUCGGACGCACCUCCGCCGAGCUCGCCGUCCACCCACACCACUCCCCGUCAUCUUGGAUUGAACGCCAGCCACCAAAGCAUAUCAUAAUCCCCUCGCUCCUCCCUCACCACGCCGCCCAGAUCCGCGAUGGCGCUCCUCCCUAAUCCAUCUUCCUCAUCUCCGGUGCGGCCCCGGGGCGACAUUACAGGUGCUCCAUCCCGACCUUAGGGGGCCGAGCCUCCCAUCUCCAUCUCGAUUGGGGCUUCGGCUGCCGGUGUAGCUAUCCAUCUUCAUCAUCCCCGAAGGAUAACCAGCAGUUUACAUCCCUCUGUUUCCCCCCUCUUCGAAGUGCCUCUCCUCAGAAUGGAAGACAUUUUGCUACACGCAAUUCCAGCUAUGCUUCUCUGCUGUAUAACGCCCAAAAUGUUCGAGUGUUCUAUGAGCUACUCUAAGUUGUCGGUUGUACUAUGCAUGACGGAGAGCUCAUGGCGCACGCUGAUCUUGUCCAUGUCCAGCUUGUCGAGCUGCUGCCACUAUGACGGA